GCCAGGCAUGGUGGCACAUGCCCAAAAUCCUAGCAACUAGGGAGGCUGAGGGAGGCUGGUGGAUUGCUUGUGUUUGGGGGUUCUGAGCUGCAGUGCAGUAAGCUAAUCAGUUGUCUGUACUAAUUUUGGCACAUAUGGUGAAUCCUUGAGAGCAGGAGUCCCUGAGGCUACCUGAAGUGGAGUGGGAAUUAGUCCAGGUCAGAAAUGGAAACAGAUCAAAGCUUCUAUGCUGAUCAUCAGUGAGAUCAAGUCCAUGAGUGGCUGCUUAACUUUCAGCCUAGAUAAGAUAGGGAGAGAUAUCUCCA
RNAcentral lists this small RNA (305 nucleotides) under Phascolarctos cinereus (koala). RNAcentral's name for it is "Metazoan signal recognition particle RNA (ENSPCIG00000013206.2)". Lineage: Eukaryota; Metazoa; Chordata; Mammalia; Diprotodontia; Phascolarctidae. The record is from RNAcentral.